This 4587-nucleotide long non-coding RNA is filed under the name Salmo salar (Atlantic salmon). RNAcentral's name for it is "lncRNA (ENSSSAG00000107641.1)". The record is from RNAcentral. Lineage: Eukaryota; Metazoa; Chordata; Actinopteri; Salmoniformes; Salmonidae.
CAAAGAGCUGGCUCACAUGCUCAUCAUAUGAGCCCCGCUUCAUAAAGUCAUGUCGUUUCAUAUCUACUGGGCUUCAGUGGGCUAGGAGGACCCGGGUGAGAGCAGCUAGAGAGCUGGAGAUGGAGCUGGGCUGGAGCUGGGCUGGUGGGAAGUUUCUUGAGAGUUCUUAGAGUUAUUGAGUGUUCUUGAGUUCUAAGAGAGUUCUUGAGUUCUAAGAGAGUUCUUGAGUUCUUAGAGAGUUGUUGUGUUCUUCUUUACUAGUAGUUGGGUGUUAGAGUGUUGAGUUGCUCUUGUGCUCCUCUUGAAGUUUCUACUGGAUGCUCUUCCACUGACGGCCCACAAAGCUUGGAUUGAGAAGACGUUUCAGAAAAGAGAGUGCAUCCAAAUAUUUCCCAGCAAAGAACCAAACAGGUACCAUUCAUACUACUGUUCUCCCAGAACCCAACAGGUACCAUUCAUGCCACUGUUCUCCCAGAACCCAACAGGUACCAUUCAUACUACUGUUCUCCCAGAACCCAACAGGUACCAUUCAUGUCACUGUUCUCCCAGAACCCAACAGGUACCAUUCAUGUCACUGUUCUCACAGAACCCAACAGGUACCAUUCAUGUGACUGUUCUCCCAGAACCCAACAGGUACCAUUCAUGCCACUGUUCUCACAGAACCCAACAGGUACCAUUCAUGUCACUGUUCUCCCAGAACCCAACAGGUACCAUUCAUGCCACUGUUCUCCCAAAACCCAACAGGUACCAUUCAUGCCACUGUUCUCCCAAAACCCAACAGGUACCAUUCAUGCCACUGUUCUCACAGAACCCAACAGGUACCAUUCAUGCCACUGUUCUCGCCGAUCCAAUUUUCCUUGCUCCUCACUAUUCUCAUAUGCUUCCAUGAUGAGCACCAGAUCAUUUGUUGAGGCAGAGAGAGAGAGAGAGAGAGAGAGAGAGAGAGAGAGAGAGAAGAGAGAGAGAGAGAGAGUAAGAGAGAGAGAGGAGAGAAGAGAGAGAGAGAGAGGAAGAGAGAGAGAGGGAGAGAGAGAGAGAGAGAGAGAGAGAGAGACAGCGAGAGAGAGAGACAGAGACGAGAGAGAGAGAGAGAGAGAGAGAGAGAGAGAGAGAGAGAGAGUGCUUUCACUGACCCAGUUUAAAAUAUUUAAAAAACUGUGUUUUUAGAGUGCUGUAUAACUUAGUGUACAUCCCAAAUGACAUCCUAUUCCCUAUAUAUAGUGCACUGUUGUCAGUCCUGGUCAAAAGUAGUGCACUACAAAGGGAAUAUGAUGCCAUUUGGGAUGUAGACUUAAUGAAUUCUCCACUCAUACAGAAACGCUCUCAGUAAAGAAAUUGUAUAAACAACCUGCCGUUACUUGGCCCAAAUCCCUUAUUAAGGCCCAAAUCCUUUCAAAUGGUGGUGAUUGUGGGGACUUAACGUGACAAAACCCCUCAGAUAGCUCUAAAGCAAACAGAGAUGCAAUUGAAAUUGGUCAGCACACAAAUAUGAACAGUAACAGCUGUUAGUAACAUGGUUAAGUAGCUCUACGCUACGUUGACAAAGCAAUACUAGCCAUCUUUCAUAGCUAUUUACACGAUCUGUCUGUGUUUCACAUUCCAUCACGGUACGCUUCCAUUAACACUUUAUAAACCAACAGGUAGAAAGCAUUAUGAAGUGGUUAUAAUGCAUUAUAACACCAGUAAUAAGCAUGUAUAACCCCCCAUAUGUCCUCCCUUUCUAUCUCCAGGUGCAGUUGUGGUCAGGUAGUGAACCAGCAUGUGGCCAUCAUCCCGGGGGCGACCACCAGGGUGGCGGAAGAGGCAGGUCAGAUAGCACAGGUGGCGGUGCCCAUGGAACGCUGGUCCGUGCUUAAACACACACAGGCCAUGCCCACAGACACAUACGGCAUCAUGGAGUUCCAGGGAGGAGGACAUGUCAACAAGGCCAUGUACAUCCGUGUGGCGUACGAUUCCAAGCCAGACAACAUGCUCCACCUGAUGGUGAAAGACUGGCAGCUGGAGCUCCCUACCCUGCUCAUCUCCGUCCACGGGGGACUGCAGAACUUUGACUUGCAGCCCAAACUAAAACAGGUGUUUGGAAAGGGUCUGAUCCAAGCUGCAGUCACCACCGGAGCCUGGAUACUCACUGGCGGAGUCAGCACUGGGGUGAUCCGGCAUGUUGGAGAUGCGUUGAAGGACCACUCCUCAAAGUCCAGGGGGAAAGUAUGUGCCAUCGGGAUCGCUCCAUGGGGCAUUGUGGAGAACAAGGAGGAUCUGAUAGGAAGAGAUGUGACACGUCCAUACCAGGCCAUGUCCAACCCCAUGUCCAAGCUGUCUGUCCUCAACAACAGCCACUCUCACUUCAUCCUAGCAGAUAACGGGACCCACGGAAAGUACGGCGCAGAGGUCCGUCUUCGCCGUCAGCUGGAGAAACACAUCUCCCUGCAGAAGAUCAACACACGUCUGGGUCAGGGAGUGCCUCUGGUCUGUCUGAUCCUGGAGGGGGGUCCCAACGUCAUCUCCAUAGUCCUGGAGAGCCUGAGGGAGGACCCCCCUGUCCCGGUGGUGGUCUGUGACGGCAGUGGACGGGCCUCUGACAUCAUCUCCUUCGCACACAGAUACUCUGAGGACGACGGCUUGGUAAGUGAUAGCGUGAAGGACCAGCUCCUGGUCACCAUACAGAAGACGUUCAACUACAACCGCGGUCAGGCCCAGCAGAUCUUCCUCAUGGUGAUGGAAUGCAUGAAGAAGCGAUCUCUGGUGAGUAGGGAAGACAUAAUUAUACAGGCUAUGUUCCCAUAAAUGACAUUAGCAUAACACUUAGAAUUCCUGUCCAAUGCAUUGCAUGCGUCAUAAGUGACGGUUUUAGUAUCUAGACAAUUUGUUAGUUAAAAUGUAUUUUUCUAAGCCUUUACGUACAUUUUAGAAACACUUUACCGCAUAAGUCAAACCUAAUGUAUUCAAAAUAUAUUCAAACAUUAAAGAUUAUAAUUUGUGAUGAAAGUAAAGCGACAUUUUAAUAAUUUAAUUGUUUUAUGUUAUUUGAUGCGUCAAUAAAAUUGUCCCAUUCAUUUGUGUCAUCCUGUACUUUCAUUCAUGUGUCAUGUGUCCAAUCAUUUGACCCGGUACGUUAAAUAAGUCAACACAACCAAUAUCCAUCAUCACUGAAGACCUGAAACUAUUCUACUUCAUAAACCCUGCAUCCCAUAGUCAGUGUCCCCAUAAACUAUAGUUGAAGAAUGUGUCCUCAUAAACAACGAUAAUAUGAACUACAUCACCAUCAUCCCUGUCUCACAUCUUCAACUACAUCACCAUCAUCCCUGUCUCACUUCCUCAACUACAUCACCAUCAUCCCUGUCUCACAUCUUGAACUACAUCUCCAUCAUCCCUGUCACACUUCCUCAACUACAUCUCCAUCAUCCCUGUCUCACUUCCUCAACUACAUCACCAUCAUCCCUGUCUCACUUCCUCAACUACAUCACCAUCAUCUCUGUCUCACUUCCUAAACUACAUCACCAUCAUCCCUGUCUCACUUCCUCAACUACAUCACCAUCAUCCCCAUCUCACUUCUUCAACUACAUCCCCAUCAUCCCUGUCUCACUUCUUCAACUAUAUCACCAUCAUCCCCAUCUCACUUCUUCAACUACAUCACCAUCAUCCCUGUCUCACUUCCCCAACUACACCACCAUCAUCCCUGUCUCACAUCUUCAACUACAUCACCAUCGUCCCUGUUUCACUUCCUCAACUACAUCACCAUCAUCCCUGUCUCACAUAUUCAACUACCUCACCCCUGUCUCACUUCCUCAACUACAUCACCAUCAUCCCUGUCUCACAUCUUCAACUACAUCACCAUCAUCCCUGUUUCACUUCCUCAACUACAUCACCAUCAUCCCUGUCUCACAUAUUCAACUACCUCACCAUCGUCCCUGUUUCACUUCCUCAACUACAUCACCAUCAUCCCUGUCUCACAUAUUCAACUACCUCACCCCUGUCUCACUUCCUCAACUACAUCACCAUCAUCCCUGUCUCACAUCUUCAACUACAUCACCAUCAUCCCUGUCUCACAUCUUCAACUACAUCACCAUCAUCCCUGUCUCACAUCUUUAUCUACAUCACCAUCCUCCCUGUCUCACUUCCUCAACUGCAUCACCCUCAUCCCUGUCUCCCAGCUUCUUCAACUACAUCUCCAUCAUCCCCGUCUCACUUCCUCAACUACAUCACCCUCAUCCCUGUCUCCCAGCUUCUUCAAUUACAUCACCAUCAUCCCUGUCUCACUUCCUCAACUACAUCACCAUCAUCCCUGUCUCACUUCCUCAACUACAUCACCAUCAUCCCCAUCUCACUUCCUCAACUACAUCACCAUCAUCCCUGUCUCACUUCUUCAACUACAUCACCAUCAUACGUGUCUCACUUCCUCAACUACAUCACCAUCAUCCCCGUCUCACAUUUUCAACUACAUCACCAUCAUCCCUGUCUCACUUCUUCAACUACAUCACCAUCAUCCCCAUCUCACUUCCUCAACUACAUCACCAUCAUCCCUGUCUCACUUCUUCAACUACAUCACCAUCAUCCCUGUCUCACUUCUUCAACUACAUCACCAUCAUC